UGUGCAUUUUCUAAAUAUAGCUAAAGAACUCUUGAUUACCAGUGGUUGACUCCAUUACAAAGCGUACUAAUUGCUUUAAAUGUUUAAUAUUUUUUUUGACUCUACUAACAUUCAGGAAACAUGACUUUAUUCUGUUGCUAAUAUCUUCAAUAUCCAGAGUACAGGCAACAGAAGAAUUAACCCCUCUAAGUAAGUUACAAAGCAGAUAAUCAGCAUGAAUAGUAGAUAUUUAAAAAUUGUAUUAGUUUCUACCCCUUAAAUUUCCACUGUUCAAUCUCCUGUACUUUUGUGAUAUAAGAUACAUUUAUGAGCAUAGUGUGGGGUGCGGUGCACUGUACCCAGAGGACAUUCUGCAGACAAAAAAAAUCAUACGAACUUGCAAAAUAUUCAGCAUGUUUUCUCCACUUCUGCUGCUUAAAGGAGGGGUGAAGCAAGGCCUAAGUGUAGAAGGUGGUUCUUUGGUGGAGAGGAGCUUUCAAUUCACACCAAAGCCAAGGCUCCAAGCAGGAGUCAUGGGGAAUAUGAAAUCGUGGGAGGUUACCCUGCUUUUCUGUGAACUGUCCUCUCUCCUUUGCAGCCAGGCAUUCUCCACCCAGCAGUUUAAGACAGCCAUCAGGUCUCCUCAGAAGAAGCCAGAAGUCCAUUCUAAUUCUUUAUUUUGGACAGGAGUCUGAAAUAAUUUCAAGUAGUCGCUCUUGAAUUUGGUUAUAGCACUUAUUACUUACACACAUAAUAAGGAGCAAAAUAUGUACCAUUGGUGCAUUAUAAAAUUUAGUUUUAUUAUAAAUUCUAAGACACUGUUUUAAAAUUGUGUAAGAAUAUUCUAGUAUUCAACAUACACAUUGGGAGAAAGAGUUGGAGUAAAGUAUAAAAGUCACAUUGGAUUUUUAAAAAUAUUUAUGGUAUUAUAAACUGUUUCACUUAUUCUGAUGCCAUAAGAUGAAAAUAGCUACAACUGCACUAAGGUGUCUCUAAAUGUCUUUACUUUAUAGACAUUUUGAUGUAGUAGAUGUCAGUAGAAACCACCUUACUCCAUCUGUCCAUGACGCCAUAUGCUUUGUGACAGAAUGUGACAUGCACUGGGCUGCGCUAAGAGAGUAUUGUUUUCCACUAAAUUUCAAAUGAACAUGCUUAAGGAUCUUCCAGUAUUAGAAAGGUUUGAGUAAGAAACAGACAUUAACUGUCUAGCCAAAUCAGGAUAGAAUACAAAGCCUAUUACAGAUGUGACUGAAAAUCACAAACCUUCAAAUUGUCUCAAAAAGGGAAAAGCUCAAAAUGGGCUUGUGCUUUGCCUCAACCCCUCAUCUUUCAGCACUUGUAACCCCUCCUUUGACAAUGCCGAGGUGGCAUUGUCCCGAGUAGCACCGCUGUCUGGGCAUUUCUGCGUUCUUGCUUUCUUAACCUUAAUUUGAUAUGUUAAUGAUCUUUGGUUGCCAGUUAUAUUGAAAUGAAAUCAAUAAAGCCAGAGCCACGUGCCCACGAUGCACACAGGCAGAUACAGGUGAUCGUGGACUGUAGGCAGCUCUCCUCACGGCCCAAAAAUAUCUCCCUCCCUGGCCUCUUGGAGAUGUAUGCAAGUUCACCACUCAAGGGCACUUCCCCUGAGGUUACUGUUACUAAUUAUUCAAUCACGUGUUGAUUAAACCUUGGGUCACAGACCUUUGUUUUUUGAUUAGAACAUUAAUUCAUAUAUUAACAUUAGUUAGGUCACUAAACACGUACUUUUGUUUCUUUUUAACCAGUGAGUUUUACAUGUAUUUAUUUAUAUAUUUAUAUCCCACUUUAAUGCUGCAGUAUUUUAAGCUGUUUUACAAAGAACUGUAAAAUACAGUAAUUUAGCCUAUAAUAGGAAAGAUGAGAAUGAAAAGCAGAUAGGAAGCUGCCAUGGAGCCAAUAUGAAGGUUAAUAAAAUGAAGUAUCCUAAGGACUUCUGAGACAGAGACGUUGUAUAUCCCUAGCUUGUUCACUCCUUUAUCCCAGUGCAGCGCUUGGAACAGUGUCUGGCACAGAGCUAGUGUCCUGUGCUGUGUGUUGAAUGAAUGUAAAAUACCCCGGGACUGGUUACCUGCAUAUUUUCUUUCUCUAGACACUGUUUUCGUGACUGUGCUUCUCACUCUCCAGGCCUUCCUCUCCUCUUCUGUGAUGACCAGGUACUGAAUGAUUCGUGUGUGCCCCCUGCCCUUUCUUUAAAUUUAAAUUUUAUUGGAGUAUAGUUGACUUACAAUGCUGUGUUGGUUUCAGGUGUGCAGCAAAGUGAAUCAGUUUUACAUAUACAUAUAUCCGUUCCUUUCCAAAUUCUUCCCCCAUAUGGGUUAUUACUCAGUAUUGAGUAGAGUUUCCUGUGCUAUAGAGUAGGUGCUUGUUACUUAUCUAUUUUAUAUGUAAUACUGUAUGUGUUUUCAUCCCAAUCUCCUAAUUUAUCCCUCCCCCCAUUGUUUCCCCUUUGCUCACCAGAAGUUUGGUUUCAAAAUCUUUAAGUCUGUUUCUGUUUUGUGAAUAAGUUCUUGGUAUCAUUUUUUAUUAGAUUCCAUGUAAUCUACAUAUGAUACUUGCCUUUUUCUGACUUAACCUCACUCACACGAUAAUUUCUAGGUCCCUAGGUCCCUCCAGGCCCUUUUUAAUUGGGAGGUUUAGGAAAGUUUGUUUCAUAAUUACUAAAAAUAACUAUGUUUUGAGAUGUUCACAGAAUACUUCAAAGGACAAACAUUGAUUAGAAAUUAGCCAAAGAAACCAAGUCUUCUGGUAGCAAAUUAGGACAAUUAGCACCAGCAAGUUAAUUUGAGUGCACAGCCCAGAGUUAUAUGCAAUCGUUUCUGCAUUAAUUAAUAGGUUGAACUUUUACCUUGAAAAUGUUUGGGUUAUAUGCAAUGCUUUCCCAAUGACUAUUGAUUUCUUAAAUUUCAAAACGACAAGUUUAUUUUUCUUUCUAAAUGACUAAAAAUGUAUGUCCAGUCUGAACAU
Molecule: long non-coding RNA, 2961 nt
Filed under: Sus scrofa (pig)
Lineage: Eukaryota; Metazoa; Chordata; Mammalia; Artiodactyla; Suidae
Description: lncRNA (ENSSSCG00015009173.1)
Source: RNAcentral